UACAGAGGGGGCAAGCGUUGUUCGGAAUUACUGGGCGUAAAGGGCGCGUAGGCGGCCUUCUAAGUCGAACGUGAAAUCCCUGGGCUCAACCCAGGAACUGCGUCCGAUACUGGAAGGCUUGAAUCCGGGAGAGGGAUGCGGAAUUCCAGGUGUAGCGGUGAAAUGCGUAGAUAUCUGGAGGAACACCGGUGGCGAAGGCGGCAUCCUGGACCGGCAUUGACGCUGAGGCGCGAAAGCCAGGGGAGCAAACGGA
RNAcentral lists this ribosomal RNA (253 nucleotides) under uncultured bacterium. RNAcentral's name for it is "partial 16S ribosomal RNA". It matches the Rfam family "Bacterial small subunit ribosomal RNA", at positions 524 to 776 of the family's 1533-position model. The record is from RNAcentral.